CAUCCAUCAGUCAUCACACACGCAGUGCAGGCACGAACGACAUGGCUGCUGCUCCGGUGGCCGUGCCGCGCAUGAAGCUGGGCUCGCAGGGGCUGGAGGUCUCGGCGCAGGGCCUCGGCUGCAUGGGCAUGUCCGCUGUCUACGGCGAGCGCAAGCCCGAGCAGGACAUGAUCGCGCUCCUCCGCCACGCCGUCGCCGCCGGCGUCACCUUCCUCGACACCUCCGACAUCUACGGCCCCCACACCAACGAGCUCUUGCUCGGCAAGGCGCUGCAGGGAGGAGUGAGGGAGAAGGUCCAAUUGGCCGCGAAAUUUGGCAUCACGGCCACCUGGGAGGUCCACGGUGACCCGGCGUACGUGCGGGCGGCGUGCGAGGGCAGCCUCGCCCGGCUCGGCGUCGACUGCAUCGACCUCUACUACCAGCACCGCAUCGACAAGAAAAUCCCCGUGGAGAUCACGAUGGGUGAGGUCAAGAAGCUAGUCCAAGAAGGAAAGGUGAAAUACGUCGGGUUGUCGGAGGCCUCGGCAGCGACAAUAAGAAGGGCACACGCAGUUCAUCCGAUCACCGCCGUUCACCUGGAGUGGUCUCUGUGGUCAAGAGAUGUCGAAGAAGAUAUAAUUCCAACUUGCAGAGAACUUGGCAUUGAAAUUGUGGCGUACGGUCCACUAGGCAGAGGUUUUCUAUCCACUGGACCUAAACUAGUGGACACAUUACCAGAGGACGAUUUCCGCAAGAAUCUCCCAAGAUUUCAAACCGAGAACAUGGAGAAGAACGCGGCGAUAUUUAAGCGCCUGAGCGAGAUGGCUGCGAGGAAGGGUUGCACGUCGUCCCAGCUCGCGCUGGCUUGGGUUCACCACCAGGGAGGCGAUGUGUGCCCCAUACCCGGCACGACGAAAGUUGAGAAUUUCAACCAGAACCUGAGAGCGCUGUCUGUGGAGCUCUCGACUGAGGAGAUGGCCGAGCUCGAGUCUUACGCUGCCAUGGAUGCGGUCCAAGGUGAUCGGUACCACAACACGUUCCUCAACACCUGGAAGGACUCCGAGACCCCUCCCCUGUCAUCCUGGAAAGCCACUUAAUUGGGAAAGGUGAAACACGUCGGGUUGUCGGAAGCCUCGGCCUCGACAAUCAGAAGGGCACACGCAGUUCAUCCGAUCACCGCAGUUCAGCUGGAGUGGUCUUUGUGGUCAAGAGAUGUUGAAGAAGAUAUAAUACCAACUUGCAGAGAACUUAGCAUUGGAAUUGUGGCGUACAGUCCACUAGGCAGAGGUUUUCUAUCCACUGGACCUAAACUGUUGGACACAUUACCAGAGGACGAUUUCUGCAAGAAUCUCCCAAGAUUUCAACCCGAGAACAUGGAGAAGAAUGCGGCGAUAUUCGAGCGCGUGAGCGAGAUGGCUGCGAGGAAGGGUUGCACGUCGUCCCAGCUCGCGCUGGCUUGGGUUCACCACCAGGGAAGCGAUGUGUGCCCCAUACCUGGCACAACGAAAGUUGAGAAUCUCAACCAGAACGUGAGAGCGCUUUCAGUGGAGCUCACGGCUGAGGAGAUGGUUGAGCUCGAGUCCUACGCUGCCAUGGAUGCGGUCCAAGGUGAUCGUUACCACAUCACGUUCCUCAACACCUGGAAGACUCCGAGACCCCUCCCCUGUCAUCCUGGAAAGCCACUUAACUGGGUAUCAUCGGAAUCAAUCACUAUGUUGAUGCUUCGUAUCACUGAUUUGAAAUAGCUGCAAAUCAAAUAAUUCCAUGAGCACUCCGUGCAUGGAUGAAAUAAUGGAACCACCAAUUGUUUGCUAAUGUAGUACAAUUCCUCCCCAUGAUUACGUUCACGGUACUAAAAAAUGUCAUUGUAUAAUUGGACAGGAUGUAUAUCCUCUGGGAGUUUGCUACUUCUUGAACUUGCGUUGAUUUUUCCUUUCAA
Molecule: RNA transcript, 1918 nt
Organism: Triticum aestivum (bread wheat)
Lineage: Eukaryota; Viridiplantae; Streptophyta; Magnoliopsida; Poales; Poaceae
Gene name: probable aldo-keto reductase 3
Exons: 9
Source: RefSeq, a predicted model, not a curated record